RNAcentral lists this ribosomal RNA (626 nucleotides) under Candidatus Viridilinea mediisalina. RNAcentral describes it as "bacterial SSU rRNA". It matches the Rfam family "Bacterial small subunit ribosomal RNA", at positions 903 to 1533 of the family's 1533-position model. The record is from RNAcentral. Lineage: Bacteria; Bacillati; Chloroflexota; Chloroflexia; Chloroflexales; Oscillochloridaceae.
AAAGGAAUUGACGGGGGCCCGCACAAGCGGAGGAACAUGUGGUUUAAUUCGAUGAUACGCGAGGAACCUUACCUGGGUUUAAAUGGGAAGUGACAGACUUGGAAACAGGUUUUUCUUCGGACACUUUUCAAGGUGCUGCAUGGUUGUCGUCAGCUCGUGCCGUGAGGUGUCGGGUUAAGUCCCAUAACGAGCGCAACCCCUAUUGUCAGUUACCAGCACGUAAUGGUGGGGACUCUGGCAAGACUGCCGGUGUAAACCGAGAGGAAGGUGGGGAUGACGUCAAAUCAGCACGGCCCUUACAUCCAGGGCUACACACGUGUUACAAUGGCCGGUACAAAGGGCCGCUACCUCGCGAGAGGAUGCGAAUCUUAAAAGCCGGUCUCAGUUCGGAUCGGAGUCUGCAACCCGACUCCGUGAAGCUGGAUUCGCUAGUAAUCGCGCAUCAGCCAUGGCGCGGUGAAUACGUUCCCGGGCCUUGUACACACCGCCCGUCAAGCCAUGGAAGCCGGGGGUACCUGAAGUAUGUAACCGCAAGGAGCGUCCUAGGGUAAAACUGGUGACUGGGGCUAAGUCGUAACAAGGUAGCCGUACCGGAAGGUGUGGCUGGAACACCUCCUUUCUGGAGC